AAGGCUAAAACUCAAAGGAAUUGACGGGGGCCCGCACAAGCGGCGGAGCAUGUGGAUUAAUUCGAUGCAACGCGAAGAACCUUACCUGGGCUUGACAUACACCGGAUCGGGCUAGAGAUAGUCUUUCCCUUUGUGGCUGGUGUACAGGUGGUGCAUGGUUGUCGUCAGCUCGUGUCGUGAGAUGUUGGGUUAAGUCCCGCAACGAGCGCAACCCUUGUCUUAUGUUGCCAGCAUUUGGUUGGGGACUCAUGAGAGACUGCCGGGGUCAACUCGGAGGAAGGUGGGGAUGACGUCAAAUCAUCAUGCCCCUUAUGUCCAGGGCUUCACACAUGCUACAAUGGUCGGUACAACGCGCAGCGACACUGUGAGGUGGAGCGAAUCGCUGAAAGCCGGCCUUAGUUCGGAUUGGGGUCUGCAACUCGACCCCAUGAAGUCGGAGUCGCUAGUAAUCGCAGAUCAGCAACGCUGCGGUGAAUACGUUCCCGGGCCUUGUACACACCGCCCGUCACGUCAUGAAAGUUGGUAACACCCGAAGCCGGUGGCCCAAACUUGUUAGGGAGCCGUCGAAGGUGGGAUCGGCGAUUGGGACGAAGUCGUAACAAGGUACCCGUACCGGAAGGUGCGGGUGGAUCACCUCCUUU
This 641-nucleotide ribosomal RNA is filed under the name Corynebacterium sp. RNAcentral's name for it is "bacterial SSU rRNA". It matches the Rfam family "Bacterial small subunit ribosomal RNA", at positions 890 to 1533 of the family's 1533-position model. Lineage: Bacteria; Bacillati; Actinomycetota; Actinomycetes; Mycobacteriales; Corynebacteriaceae. The record is from RNAcentral.